GUUAUGAAGAAGGGAAAGAAAAGAUCACAUAUAUCUUGUCGUGACUAUUUUGCGACAAAUUACAAGGUUGAAACUUAAGUAAUUGUAUUUUUCUCCAUGCUGGUAAGCUCUUACUACAAUAUGUUGUUAAUAUGUACUUGAAAAUUGAAAUUGUAAGAUUAGAUUACUUUCGUAAUAACCCAUUAGCUGACAGGCAUGCAUAAUAUCUAUAUUAUUUGGCUGUCAAAUUUUAUAAAUCUUUCAUUCUUUUCAGCCUCAUUUGUUACUUAGGUUAAUUUCUCGAAUUAUAAAGGUUAGUACCCUAUGUCUAUAUUACAUUUUAUAACUUCUCUAUAGCAGAGAAAGACGAAAGGCAGGCGAGAAAAGGAGU
This 370-nucleotide long non-coding RNA is filed under the name Olea europaea (common olive). RNAcentral describes it as "long non-coding RNA (OEUR_LNC006021)". Lineage: Eukaryota; Viridiplantae; Streptophyta; Magnoliopsida; Lamiales; Oleaceae. The record is from RNAcentral.